CAUAUCAAAAAGCGGAGGAAAAGAAACCAACAGGGAUUGCCUCAGUAACGGCGAGUGAAGCGGCAAAAGCUCAAAUUUGAAAUCCCCCGGGAAUUGUAAUUUGAAGAGAUUUGGGUCCGGCCGGCGGGGGUUAAGUCCACUGGAAAGUGGCGCCACAGAGGGUGACAGCCCCGUGAACCCCUUCAACGCCCUCAUCCCAGAUCUCCAAGAGUCGAGUUGUUUGGGAAUGCAGCUCUAAGUGGGUGGUAAAUUCCAUCUAAAGCUAAAUACCGGCGAGAGACCGAUAGCGAACAAGUACAGUGAUGGAAAGAUGAAAAGCACUUUGAAAAGAGAGUGAAAAAGUACGUGAAAUUGUUGAAAGGGAAGGGCUUGCAAGCAGACACUUAACUGGGCCAGCAUCGGGGCGGCGGGAAACAAAACCACCGGGGAAUGUACCUCUCGAGGAUUAUAACCCCGGUCUCAAUUUCCUUGUUGCCCCGAGGCCUGCAAUCUAAGGAUGCUGGCGUAAUGGUUGCAAGUCGCCCGUCUUGAACCACGGACCAAAAAAACCCCAAAG
Molecule: ribosomal RNA, 556 nt
Filed under: Metschnikowia sp. 11-1090
Lineage: Eukaryota; Fungi; Ascomycota; Pichiomycetes; Serinales; Metschnikowiaceae
Description: eukaryotic LSU rRNA
Rfam family: Eukaryotic large subunit ribosomal RNA
Source: RNAcentral